CCGUUCCCAUUCCGAACACGGCAGUUAAGCUCUUCAGCGCCGAUGGUAGUUGGGGGUUUCCCCCUGUGAGAGUAGGACGCCGCCAAGC
RNAcentral lists this ribosomal RNA (88 nucleotides) under Peribacillus simplex. The record is from RNAcentral. RNAcentral also lists the same sequence under 3 other names. Lineage: Bacteria; Bacillati; Bacillota; Bacilli; Caryophanales; Bacillaceae.